CGUUGAACCACCGGUUCACGUACGAUCACUGAAGUUAAGCACCGUACGGUACGAUCACCAAAGUUAAGCAACGUCGAACCAGAUCAGUAUUGAGAUGGGUGACCACUUGGGAAUACCGCGUGCUGUAUU
Non-coding RNA from Acanthosepion pharaonis, 129 nucleotides. Lineage: Eukaryota; Metazoa; Mollusca; Cephalopoda; Sepiida; Sepiidae. The record is from the annotation of a GenBank genome assembly.